Molecule: long non-coding RNA, 300 nt
Filed under: Ailuropoda melanoleuca (giant panda)
Lineage: Eukaryota; Metazoa; Chordata; Mammalia; Carnivora; Ursidae
Description: lncRNA (ENSAMEG00000029660.1)
Source: RNAcentral
UCAAGAAGCUCUAACUCAUGAGGAUGACCAACACUGGGCAAGCUGAAAAUAUCUUACUCCAGAAACAACUCUUAGGUGCCAGAUAUUAGGACCUAUUUGAAAUGAAGAGACUAUUUUCUUCAACAGAAUAAGGUUUGGUUCACUCUGUUUCAAGUUUGGGAAAAUAAUAAGUGUGCAUUCUCUUAUUCCUAGUAUUUAGUGAAUACACCCAUUGCUUAAUUUUUAAAUUCUGAAUUGGAGCAUAAAUUCUUCUAGAAGAAAAGUACAGUGGGUUUCAGAAGCGCUUUUAACCGAUUUAGG